GUUUGAUCUGGCUCAGAUUGAACGCUGGCGGAAUGCUUUACACACCAUUUAAGAACGGUAGAGGGGGCAACCCCUUGAGAGUGGCGAACGUGUGAGUAAUAUAUCGGAACGUGCCCAGUCGUGGGGGAUAACGUAGCGAAAGUUACGCUAAUACCGCAUACGAUCUAAGGAUGAAAGCGGGGGAUCGCAAGACCUCGCGCGAUUGGAGCGGCCGAUAUCAGAUUAGGUAGUUGGUGGGGUAAAGGCUCACCAAGCCAACGAUCUGUAGCUGGUCUGAGAGGACGACCAGCCACACUGGAACUGAGACACGGUCCAGACUCCUACGGGAGGCAGCAGUGGGGAAUUUUGGACAAUGGACGCAAGUCUGAUCCAGCCAUUCCGCGUGCAGGAUGAAGGCCCUCGGGUUGUAAACUGCUUUUGUACGGAACGAAAAGGUUUCUAUUAAUACUAGGAGCUCAUGACGGUACCGUAAGAAUAAGCACCGGCUAACUACGUGCCAGCAGCCGCGGUAAUACGUAGGGUGCAAGCGUUAAUCGGAAUUACUGGGCGUAAAGCGUGCGCAGGCGGUUAUAUAAGACAGAUGUGAAAUCCCCGGGCUCAACCUGGGAACUGCAUUUGUGACUGUAUAGCUAGAGUACGGUAGAGGGGGAUGGAAUUCCGCGUGUAGCAGUGAAAUGCGUAGAUAUGCGGAGGAACACCGAUGGCGAAGGCAAUCCCCUGGACCUGUACUGACGCUCAUGCACGAAAGCGUGGGGAGCAAACAGGAUUAGAUACCCUGGUAGUCCACGCCCUAAACGAUGUCAACUGGUUGUUGGGUCUUCACUGACUCAGUAACGAAGCUAACGCGUGAAGUUGACCGCCUGGGGAGUACGGCCGCAAGGUUGAAACUCCAAGGAAUUGACGGGGACCCGCACAAGCGGUGGAUGAUG
Molecule: ribosomal RNA, 929 nt
Filed under: uncultured bacterium
Lineage: Bacteria
Description: bacterial SSU rRNA
Rfam family: Bacterial small subunit ribosomal RNA
Source: RNAcentral